RNAcentral lists this ribosomal RNA (274 nucleotides) under uncultured bacterium. RNAcentral's name for it is "partial 16S ribosomal RNA". It matches the Rfam family "Bacterial small subunit ribosomal RNA", at positions 523 to 796 of the family's 1533-position model. The record is from RNAcentral.
AUACAGAGGGUGCAAGCGUUAAUCGGAAUUACUGGGCGUAAAGCGCACGUAGGUGGGCUAGUAAGUUGUUGGUGAAAAGCUCGGGCUUAACCUGAGUCUGUCCAGCAAAACUGUUAGUCUAGAGUGUAUUAGAGGGAAGUGGAAUUUCCGGUGUAGCAGUGAAAUGCGUAGAUAUCGGAAGGAACACCAGUGGCGAAGGCGACUUCCUGGAAUACUACUGACACUGAGGUGCGAAAGCGUGGGGAGCAAACAGGAUUAGAAACCCUAGUAGUCC